UACGGAGGGUGCAAGCGUUAUCCGGAUUCACUGGGUUUAAAGGGUGCGUAGGUGGGUUGCCAAGUCCGUGGUGAAAUCUCCGAGCUUAACUCGGAAACUGCCGUGGAUACUGGUAAUCUUGAAUAUCGUGGAGGUAAGCGGAAUAUGUCAUGUAGCGGUGAAAUGCUUAGAUAUGACAUAGAACACCGAUUGCGAAGGCAGCUUGCUACACGAUCAUUGACACUGAGGCACGAAAGCGUGGGGAUCAAACAGG
This 253-nucleotide ribosomal RNA is filed under the name uncultured bacterium. RNAcentral describes it as "partial 16S ribosomal RNA". It matches the Rfam family "Bacterial small subunit ribosomal RNA", at positions 524 to 776 of the family's 1533-position model. The record is from RNAcentral.